RNAcentral lists this ribosomal RNA (460 nucleotides) under uncultured bacterium. RNAcentral describes it as "partial 16S ribosomal RNA". It matches the Rfam family "Bacterial small subunit ribosomal RNA", at positions 338 to 795 of the family's 1533-position model. The record is from RNAcentral.
CCUACGGGGGGCAGCAGUGAGGAAUAUUGGUCAAUGGACGAGAGUCUGAACCAGCCAAGUAGCGUGAAGGAUGACUGCCCUAUGGGUUGUAAACUUCUUUUAUAUGGGAAUAAAAUGUUCCACGUGUGGGAUUUUGUAUGUACCAUAUGAAUAAGGAUCGGCUAACUCCGUGCCAGCAGCCGCGGUAAUACGGAGGAUCCGAGCGUUAUCCGGAUUUAUUGGGUUUAAAGGGAGCGUAGGUGGAUUGUUAAGUCAGUUGUGAAAGUUUGCGGCUCAACCGUAAAAUUGCAGUUGAAACUGGCAGUCUUGAGUACAGUAGAGGUGGGCGGAAUUCGUGGUGUAGCGGUGAAAUGCUUAGAUAUCACGAAGAACUCCGAUUGCGAAGGCAGUUCACUGGACUGCAACUGACACUGAGGCUCGAAAGUGUGGGUAUCAAACAGGAUUAGAUAUCCCUGUAGUC